Molecule: ribosomal RNA, 254 nt
Filed under: uncultured bacterium
Lineage: Bacteria
Description: partial 16S ribosomal RNA
Rfam family: Bacterial small subunit ribosomal RNA
Source: RNAcentral
UACGAAGGGGGCGAGCGUUGUUCGGAUUUACUGGGCGUAAAGGGCGCGUAGGCGGCCACCGCAAGUCGGUUGUGAAAUCUCCGGGCUUAACCCGGAAAGGUCAAUCGAUACUGCGGGGCUAGAGUGCAGAAGGGGCAACUGGAAUUCUCGGUGUAGCGGUGAAAUGCGUAGAUAUCGAGAGGAACACCUGCGGCGAAGGCGGGUUGCUGGGCUGACACUGACGCUGAAGCGCGAAAGCUAGGGGAGCGAACGGG